AUGCAAAGCAGUGUACACUUGUGCACUUCAAAAAUUCAUUGUAUACUGUACCUUCUUGCACGUCUCUGUUUCCUGUGUGUGUUGUUAGAAAUCAAACUAACUUUAGGAAACAAUAUGCCAAAAGCAUAUUUACAAUUACUUAAGACCGUUUUUAAUUUCUUUUCUUUAGACCAAAUCCCCUGUACACAUAUACGGACUCAGAGGAUGAGCAGCCUACAAAAAAAACUGUUUCCCCAGGCCCCUCGAGUGAAAAUACCAGCCCUCAUCACUCCAGUCUGCCCCCCAGCCCACUGAUAGCAACCAUCAUAAUGCCACACCCAGCUUCCGGCACCUUUCGCCACUCCGGCACAAACCGACACAGCUUUGCGAUCUCGCCAGCAUGCAGAGUCUGAUGUCUUCCCUAUAGAUGGUAUGCUUUUAAAAAAGCUUUAAAGCUGCAUCACAAUGUCAUUGUACUCUUAUCUAAAAAAAAAAAAAAAAAAACCCCAAUUUAUACUCCUGAAUGUCAUCUUGUUGUGAUUUUUUUUUUUUUUUUCCUGCAGAUUCCAGAGACUCUGUGAGGCCACCAUUACAAGGCAAGUUUGAAAAUCUUGGAAUUUCACAGUUUACAUGGUAUAACAAAUAUGUGACAGGCAAAAACUAGUAAACACUUUUAGCAGUUACAAGAACUAACAAAUGAAUAUCCAACAAAAGGGAAUAGAAAUACAUUGUACUGCCAAUACUUUGGUUUAUUCUUUGUAUGACUUGAAAAUCAGGCUUUAGGGAAAACUAAAUGACAUGUUUCUAUCAUCAAUUACAUGAAGUAAACACACAAGCACUUGCAUACACAUUUAAGACAUGAGACACGCUAAUUCCAUCUCUUAAAAUGUGUCUAUAGGUGAGACGCUUUGCGUUGAUUGGUGCUGCUGGACCACACUGGAGGUGCGAGUCCGCCGUGUAAUGGUUUAUGCCAUUACAAAGGAGCUGGCCUCUGUACUCAACUGGGCAGGGAAAAAAAACCAAGGACCAGACAAAGCAAAAAAGGGCAUUUAAAGAGACAGCGCUGUGCAGAUGCAUAUUUGGUAAGUUUUACUGUUAAUUGUAGUUUUAUGAGCCUAAAGUGAACAAUAAAGGGAUCAAUUGAUGUGCUGGGUGCGUUUCACAUUUCCUAUGUCUGUUUUUUGCUAUAUUACUUUGUCUUUCUUAAUAACAAGACUUUCAUGUCCGGUUAAUCUGGAGAUGGAGUCUUUGGUCUUCGGCUUGUUUUGUCCUCGGGUUGUACACUUUGUACAGCCCGAGGACCCCAUGUUUUCUUUUUUCUUUUUUUUUUUAAAGGAUACACGGCACACCAUGCUAAGACAUAUCACAUUUUCAGCUUAUAGCUCUUUGGGAAUCAAAUGCAGCAGUUUGCUGAUUUCCGCCUGGUGACUUUCAUGUUUAUCAGCCUAGGAGUUUACAUACUUUCUCCCUGCUGAAGACAAUUAACAAGAGCUUAUUCAUGUGCUCUAAUUCCCUUUUUUUUGUCUUUGUUUUUUUUUUGUGUGUGUGUGUCUAUUUUUGUCCUAGAUGGCCUGGCGUAGCAGGUAGGGGCGAACUCUAUGUCUGAGUUGGUCUUUGCUCAAGCAGUCCAGAAAUGGCUCAGAUAUGCUCCAGAUCGUACGGAUGGCGCGCAGGACACACAUCAUCCAUCCCCAUCCCGGAGUAAAUAAUAAAAAGUGACGUGAAACAUAGAAAUGUAAAUAGGAAACUUUGUCUUUUAAUAAAGUAUUUUGCAAAUGAUACAUGUCUAUUGACCUUUUUUGUGUUUUUUUUUUUUGUUUUUUUUUUUCAAUAAAAAGCAACUGUGCAAAAGAGGUGGAAAAUUAACACCUUAGCUCAACAGUGUUUCAAUAUCAGAAUCUGACAUUGUUUCAAUGUCAACAGUAUUCGAAAAUAUAACGUCGAAUCAAUGUCAGGUUUCAACAUUGAUUCAACAUCAAAACCUGACGUUGUUUCAACGUUAAAAAUGGGUGCAAGAGUGACGUUGGGUCAACGUCACACUUCAACGUUGCUUCAAUGACGUCGCCUGAUAUUGACUCAACAUUGUUUCAAUGUUUCCUUGCUAUCUGGGUAUUCAUGUGCUCUAAUUCCCUUUUUUUUGUCUUUGUUUUUUUGUGUGUGUGUGUCUAUUUUUGUCCUAGAUGGCCUGGCGCAGCAGGUAGGGGCGAACUCUAUGUCUGAGUUGGUCUUUGCUCAAGCAGUCCAGAAAUGGCUCAGAUAUGCUCCAGAUCGUACGGGUGGCGCGCAGGACGCACAUCAUCCAUCCCCAUCCCGGAGUAAAUAAUAAAAAGUGACGUGAAACAUAGAAAUGUAAAUAGGAAACUUUGUCUUUUAAUAAAGUAUUUUGCAAAUGAUAAAUGUCUAUUGACCUUUUUUGUUUUUUUUCAAUAAAAAGCAACUGUGCGAAAGAGGUGGAAAAUCAAUACCAUAGCUCAACAGUGUUUCAAUAUCAGAAUCUGACAUUGUUUCAAUGUCAACAGUGUUAGAAAAUCUAACGUCGAAUCAAUGUCAGGUUUCAACAUUGAUUCAACAUCAAAACCUGACGUUGUUUCAACGUUAAAAAUGGGUGCAAGAGUGAUGUUGGGUCAACGUCACACUUCAACGUUGCUUCAAUGACGUCGCCUGAUAUUGACUCAACAUUGUUUCAAUGUUUCCUUGCUAUCUGGGUAGUGUUAAAAUACCCAUUUAAUGUCAUAAUUGCAGUGUCAUUGGGGGUAGUAGUGUUCUUCUUCUAUCCCAGUCAGCUGUUAUAACUGCACAGUUACAGUGUUAUUAAUGCAGUA
Long non-coding RNA from Oreochromis niloticus (Nile tilapia), 2801 nucleotides. The record is from Ensembl. Lineage: Eukaryota; Metazoa; Chordata; Actinopteri; Cichliformes; Cichlidae.